RNAcentral lists this ribosomal RNA (790 nucleotides) under uncultured archaeon. Its description in RNAcentral is "bacterial SSU rRNA". It matches the Rfam family "Bacterial small subunit ribosomal RNA", at positions 102 to 924 of the family's 1533-position model. The record is from RNAcentral.
ACUGCUCAGUAACACGUGGGUAAUCUACCUCUUAGUGUGGAAUAACCCUGGGAAACCGGGGCUAAUACCGCAUAAGCUCGAGAGAGGAAAGCAGCAAUGCGCUGAGAGAGGAGCCCGCGGCCGAUUAGCUAGUUGGUGAGGGUAAGGGCCCACCAAGGCAGAGAUCGGUAGCCGGCCUGAGAGGGCACACGGCCACACUGGCACUGAAACACGGGCCAGACUCCUACGGGAGGCAGCAGUGGGGAAUCUUGCACAAUGGGGGAGACCCUGAUGCAGCGACGCCGCGUGAGCGAUGAAGCCCUUCGGGGUGUAAAGCUCUUUCGGCAGGGAAGAUGAUGACGGUACCUGCAGAAGCAGCUGCGGCUAACUACGUGCCAGCAGCCGCGGUAAUACGUAGGCAGCAAGCGUUGUUCGGAGUUACUGGGCGUAAAGGGUGCGUAGGCGGUUGUUUAAGUUUGGUGUGAAAUCUCCCGGCUCAACUGGGUGGGUGCGCCGAAUACUGAAUGACUAGAGUGCGGGAGAGGAGAGUGGAAUUCCUGGUGUAGCGGUGAAAUGCGUAGAUAUCAGGAGGAACACCGGCGGUGUAGACGGCUCUCUGGACCGCAACUGACGCUGAGGCACGAAAGCGUGGGUAGCAAACAGGAUUAGAUACCCUGGUAGUCCACGCCCUAAACGAUGCAUAUUUGGUGUGGGUCAUUCAGUUGAUCCGUGCCGGAGCUAUCGCGUUAAAUAUGCCGCCUGGGGAGUACAGUCGCAAGGCUGAAACUCAAAGGAAUUGGCGGGGGAGCAC